This 290-nucleotide unclassified non-coding RNA is filed under the name Meruliaceae sp. RNAcentral describes it as "partial contains 5.8S ribosomal RNA, internal transcribed spacer 2, and large subunit ribosomal RNA". The record is from RNAcentral. Lineage: Eukaryota; Fungi; Basidiomycota; Agaricomycetes; Polyporales; Meruliaceae.
CGCACCUUGCGCUCCCUGGUAUUCCGGGGAGCAUGCCUGUUUGAGUGUCAUGGUAUUCUCAACCUUCAUAACUUUUGUUAUUGAAGGCUUGGACUUGGAGGCUUGUGCUGGCUUUUGCGAGUCGGCUCCUCUGAAAUGCAUUAGCGUGAGUGUAACGGAUCGCUUCGGUGUGAUAAUUAUCUGCGCCGUGGACGUGAAGUAACAUAAGCUUGCGCUUCUAACCGUCCUUCAGCUGGACAAUAUCUUUGACAUCUGACCUCAAAUCAGGUAGGACUACCCGCUGAACUUAA